RNAcentral lists this ribosomal RNA (302 nucleotides) under uncultured bacterium. RNAcentral describes it as "partial 16S ribosomal RNA". It matches the Rfam family "Bacterial small subunit ribosomal RNA", at positions 508 to 807 of the family's 1533-position model. The record is from RNAcentral.
GCAGUAGCCGCGGGAAUACAGAGGGUGCGAGCGUUAAUCGGAUUUACUGGGCGUAAAGCGUGCGUAGGCGGCUUUUUAAGUCGGAUGUGAAAUCCCUGAGCUUAACUUAGGAAUUGCAUUCGAUACUGGGAAGCUAGAGUAUGGGAGAGGAUGGUAGAAUUCCAGGUGUAGCGGUGAAAUGCGUAGAGAUCUGGAGGAAUACCGAUGGCGAAGGCAGCCAUCUGGCCUAAUACUGACGCUGAGGUAUGAAAGCAUGGGGAGCAAACAGGAUUAGAUACCCCUGUAGUCCCUGUCUCUUAUAC